Molecule: ribosomal RNA, 370 nt
Filed under: uncultured bacterium
Lineage: Bacteria
Description: bacterial SSU rRNA
Rfam family: Bacterial small subunit ribosomal RNA
Source: RNAcentral
AACGAACGCUGGCGGCAUGCCUAACACAUGCAAGUCGAACGAAGCCUUCGGGCUUAGUGGCGCACGGGUGCGUAACGCGUGGGAAUCUGCCCUUGGGUUCGGAAUAACAGUUAGAAAUGACUGCUAAUACCGAAUGAUGUCUUCGGACCAAAGAUUUAUCGCCCAAGGAUGAGCCCGCGUCGGAUUAGCUAGUUGGUGAGGUAAAGGCUCACCAAGGCGACGAUCCGUAGCUGGUCUGAGAGGAUGAUCAGCCACACUGGGACUGAGACACGGCCCAGACUCCUACGGGAGCAGCAGUGGGGAAUAUUGGACAAUGGGCGAAAAGGCCCUGGAUACCAGUCAAUGCCCGCGUGAGUGAUCGAAGGCCUUA